Molecule: long non-coding RNA, 786 nt
Filed under: Brassica napus (rape)
Lineage: Eukaryota; Viridiplantae; Streptophyta; Magnoliopsida; Brassicales; Brassicaceae
Description: long non-coding RNA (BNAP_LNC000130)
Source: RNAcentral
UUAAUUUAGUAAAACUCUAAAUACUCCAUAAAUCAUUGGACUAACCACUAUAAAAUUGCUAUUCCCUAGAGAAAAGAAGACAACAAAGGUUCCAAACCUCUUUGAACUUCAUCAUAUGUUAUUCCAUGACUCAACUAUGCAUUAAAACAGUAUUGUCAAAUUUUUUGAAUUUUCUCGAAAUCUAUGUGUAACCCCCCCUACGAAAAUAUUGAGUUUUCAGUAAAUGCUCUAUAUAUGAAGCCUAUAAUCUUUUAAUUCGUUUUAAAAUUUAUAACCACAUUAUACAUUUGUAUUAAUUUAUGAUAAACUUCUUUUCAUGGUACAUGGACAUCGUUCUAAUUUUUUAUCAAUUAAUUUAGCAAAACUGCAAAUACUCCCUAAAUCAUUAGACUAACCACUAUAAAAUUGUUAUUCCUUAGAGAAACGGAGACAACAAAGGAUCCAAACCUCUUUGAACUUCAUCAUAUUUUAUUAAAUGAUUCAAAUAUGUAUUAAAACAGUAUUUUCAAUUUUUUUUGAAUUUUUCUCAAAAUCUAUGUGUACCCCCCUACGAAAAUAGUGAAUUUUCAGUAAAUGCUCUAUAUUUGAAGCCUAUAAUCUUUAAAUUUGUUUUAAAAUUUAUAACCACAUUAUACAUUUGUAUUAAUUUAUGAUAAAUUUCUUUUCAUGGUAAAUGGACAUUGUUCUAGUUUUUUAUCAAUUAAUUUAGUAAAACUCUAAAUACUCCCUAAAUCAUUGGACUAACCACUAUAAAAUUGUUAUUCCCUAGAGAAACGGAGACAACAA